GCGAUACCCGAAUGGGGAAACCCAGUGUGACUCGUCACACUAUCAUUAACUGAAUCCAUAGGUUAAUGAGGCGAACCGGGGGAACUGAAACAUCUAAGUACCCCGAGGAAAAGAAAUCAACCGAGAUUCCCCCAGUAGCGGCGAGCGAACGGGGAGGAGCCCAGAGCCUGAAUCAGCAUGUGUGUUAGUGGAAGCGUCUGGAAAGGCGCGCGAUACAGGGUGACAGCCCCGUACACAAAAGCGCAUGUGCUGUGAGCUCGAUGAGUAGGGCGGGACACGUGGUAUCCUGUCUGAAUAUGGGGGGACCAUCCUCCAAGGCUAAAUACUCCUGACUGACCGAUAGUGAACCAGUACCGUGAGGGAAAGGCGAAAAGAACCCCGGCGAGGGGAGUGAAAAAGAACCUGAAACCGUGUACGUACAAGCAGUGGGAGCCCCACCACCAAAGCAUUUGCUGUACCGCGUUGACGGAGCGAAGCGACGUCAAACCGAUAAAACAGCAGUGUAAAGUGAGCCGCAGGGCGCUUUGCGCGACAGCGCAAAGGCAGGCGGUUUCGCGUAGCGAAAGCGAAUGCUUUGGGGUGGGGUGACUGCGUACCUUUUGUAUAAUGGGUCAGCGACUUAUAUUCUGUAGCAAGGUUAACCGAAUAGGGGAGCCGGAGGGAAACCGAGUCUUAAUUGGGCGUUAAGUUGCAGGGUAUAGACCCGAAACCCGGUGAUCUAGCCAUGGGCAGGUUGAAGG
RNAcentral lists this ribosomal RNA (740 nucleotides) under Salmonella enterica subsp. enterica serovar Enteritidis. Its description in RNAcentral is "partial 23S ribosomal RNA". It matches the Rfam family "Bacterial large subunit ribosomal RNA", at positions 107 to 751 of the family's 2925-position model. Lineage: Bacteria; Pseudomonadati; Pseudomonadota; Gammaproteobacteria; Enterobacterales; Enterobacteriaceae. The record is from RNAcentral.